UGGGGAAUAUUGGACAAUGGGCGCAAGCCUGAUCCAGCCAUGCCGCGUGAGUGACGAAGGUCUUCGGAUUGUAAAGCUCUUUUGGCGGGGACGAUAAUGACGGUACCCGCAGAAUAAGCCCUGGCUAACUUCGUGCCAGCAGCCGCGGUAAUACGAAGGGGGCUAGCGUUGUUCGGAAUCACUGGGCGUAAAGCGCACGUAGGCGGAUUUGUUAGUCAGGGGUGAAAUCCCGGGGCUCAACCUCGGAACUGCCUCUGAUACUGCAAAUCUCGAGUCCGAUAGAGGUGAGUGGAAUUCCUAGUGUAGAGGUGAAAUUCGUAGAUAUUAGGAAGAACACCAGUGGCGAAGGCGGCUCACUGGAUCGGUACUGACGCUGAGGUGCGAAAGCGUGGGGAGCAAACAGGAUUAGAUACCCACGUAGUCCCUGAGCGGGCUGGCAAGGCGCAU
This 447-nucleotide ribosomal RNA is filed under the name uncultured bacterium. RNAcentral's name for it is "bacterial SSU rRNA". It matches the Rfam family "Bacterial small subunit ribosomal RNA", at positions 355 to 825 of the family's 1533-position model. The record is from RNAcentral.